Molecule: transfer RNA, 60 nt
Filed under: Geisha distinctissima
Lineage: Eukaryota; Metazoa; Arthropoda; Insecta; Hemiptera; Flatidae
Description: tRNA-Thr
Source: RNAcentral
GUUUUUAUAGUUUAAAAAAAACAUUGGUUUUGUAAACCAAAAUUAAUAAGAUUUAAAAAC